CCUACGGGUGGCAGCAGUGAGGAAUAUUGGUCAAUGGACGAGAGUCUGAACCAGCCAAGUAGCGUGAAGGAUGACUGCCCUAUGGGUUGUAAACUUCUGUUAUAAAGGAAUAAAACGAGGCACGUGUGCCUUUUUGCAUGUACGUUAUGAAUAAGGAUCGGCUAACUCCGUGCCAGCAGCCGCGGUAAUACGGAGUAUCCGAGCGUUAUCCGGAUUUAUUGGGUUUAAUGGGAGCGUAGAUGGGUUGUUAAGUCAGUUGUGUACGUUUGCGGCGCAACCGUAAAAUUGCACUUGAUACUGGCAGUCUUGAGUCCAGUUGAGGUAGGCGGACUUCUUGUUGUAGCGUU
RNAcentral lists this ribosomal RNA (347 nucleotides) under uncultured bacterium. RNAcentral's name for it is "partial 16S ribosomal RNA". It matches the Rfam family "Bacterial small subunit ribosomal RNA", at positions 338 to 682 of the family's 1533-position model. The record is from RNAcentral.